This 301-nucleotide ribosomal RNA is filed under the name uncultured bacterium. Its description in RNAcentral is "partial 16S ribosomal RNA". It matches the Rfam family "Bacterial small subunit ribosomal RNA", at positions 509 to 807 of the family's 1533-position model. The record is from RNAcentral.
CAGCCGCCGCGGGAAUACAGAGGGUGCAAGCGUUAAUCGGAUUUACUGGGCGUAAAGGGCGCGUAGGUGGUUAUUUAAGUGAGAUGUGAAAGCCCCGGGCUUAACCUGGGAACUGCAUCUUAUACUGGGUAACUGGAGUGCAGUAGAGGGUAGUGGAAUUUCCGGUGUAGCGGUGAAAUGCGUAGAUAUCGGAAGGAACACCAGUGGCGAAGGCGGCUACCUGGACUGAGACUGACACUGAGGCGCGAGAGCGUGGGGAGCAAACAGGAUUAGAGACCCCAGUAGUCCCUGUCUCUUAUAC